Molecule: ribosomal RNA, 376 nt
Filed under: uncultured bacterium
Lineage: Bacteria
Description: bacterial SSU rRNA
Rfam family: Bacterial small subunit ribosomal RNA
Source: RNAcentral
GACGGAGGGCGCAAGCGUUGUUCGGAAUUACUGGGCGUAAAGCGCGGGCAGGCGGCCCGCUAAGUCUGCGGUGAAAUCCCGGGGCUCAACCCCGGAUAUGCCGCGGAUACUGACGGGCUAGAGACCGGUAGAGGCGAGUGGAAUUCCUGGUGUAGCGGUGGAAUGCGUAGAUAUCAGGAAGAACACCGGUGGCGAAGGCGGCUCGCUGGGCCGGUUCUGACGCUCAGCCGCGAAAGCGUGGGGAGCAAACAGGAUUAGAUACCCUGGUAGUCCACGCCGUAAACGAUGGGCACUAGAUGCCGGGUCUAUAGACGGAUUCGGUGUCGCAGCUAACGCAUUAAGUGCCCCGCCUGGGGAGUACGGCCGCAAGGCUGAA